This is a long non-coding RNA of Bombus huntii, 1309 nucleotides long. RefSeq lists it as uncharacterized. The transcript has 2 exons. The record is from RefSeq and is a predicted model, not a curated record. NCBI's taxonomy places the organism in Eukaryota, Metazoa, Arthropoda, Insecta, Hymenoptera, Apidae.
CUUAUCGACCUUAAUGCCGGGUACGACAUCUCUCUGACGUAGCAAUUCGAUCAAUUCGACGUCAUCGGAUGUUUUUUGAUAAACUGUCUCGUGAUGCAGAAUAACAGCACUUAUGUAUUUUGAAAAUUGAGACUGCGGUAAAAAAACGUUAGAUAAGCAAGUAAAAUGUGCAGAUUACAGUAUAAUGAGUUCACCUUAUCUGCGGUGAACAACAUUUGCCGAUAAUCGCGACGAUUAAUUUCGGUAUUUUCCACGCCGAUCUCGUCGAAUCGUUCUUGAAAAGUUGAAGGAGACUCGUCACAAGCUAGCAAUCCUUUUCCUGGUACUACGAUCGCGUCUACGAUUUUGCGCAACUCUUGGCAAAGAGCUGGUUCUAACUCCGUGUAUUUAGUAAUGGGCGAUGAUAUCUAAUUAAUAAAUAUAUAACAAUUUUUGACGAAACUUUAUGUGACUUUAAAAUAAAGUUAAAUUAACAUUAAUAUCCUAAUUCAUUCAUAUUAUAAUGUAUCGUAAUCGUAAGUAAACAAUAUUUCUAAAGUGAUAUUACAUUUUUCAAGCAAAAUAGUUAAAAGAAAAACAUGGUGUUUCGAAAUUAAAUUAUGUCCAAGAAGUUAAUGGGAAUUGAUACAAUUAUCAUUUGUUGAGCAAAUGAUUUCUUAAUACGUAUAUUAGAGAAUCGAAAACUAUAAUCAAAAUAAUUUUUGUAACACUAAAAGGAAAAGAGUGAAAUUUUUCAUAACUUCAGGACUAUGAACGAAGUUGGGAAGGUCAACAACCGUGUUGGCACUCGGACAAGUUAUAUUUAAUUUCGAACAACAAUCACUGAGUAUUCUAAUUCUAUAAUUUCGUAGCGAACGACAGACAUUUAUUUAGUACGACUCUUACACUUUCUAAGGGUAAUAAUCAUUAUCGAACAUUGAUAUAACGGCAACAAAGUCCAAUGACGAUAUAAAAUAUUAUACCGUAAUCACAAUUACGCUUUUAAACUGUUGAUUUCUUUUUAAGUUUAGAUAAUUUAACAUUGGUAAACAUUUUUUGAGCGUGUUAGUAAUAAAUUAAUCGUUUUACGUCUACAUAUUUAUUAUUUGCACACUGGGGAGUUAAUAUUUUUUUAAAGAGAAGGUUUCAUUAUAAAAUUGAGAUUUUUUUUGUUAAUGCUAAAUUGUAUAUCAUGAAAUAGGUCCAAUACGAUUUUUAUGAAAUUUUUAUUUUGUAUAUAUUUUUUAUUACUGGUAAAAUUUGGUAAUGAUUUAAAAAAGUAUUUUCAUAGUGAAGAAGAUAAUAAUAAUAAUAGUAGGUUAAUGACUUA